GCGCGAUUAGCUCAGGGGGAGAGCACUACCUUGACACGGUAGGGGUCAUUGGUUCAAAUCCAAUAUCGCGCACCA
RNAcentral lists this transfer RNA (75 nucleotides) under Coriobacteriia bacterium. RNAcentral describes it as "tRNA-Val". It matches the Rfam family "tRNA". From Rfam's summary of the family: Transfer RNA (tRNA) molecules are approximately 80 nucleotides in length. Their secondary structure includes four short double-helical elements and three loops (D, anti-codon, and T loops). Further hydrogen bonds mediate the characteristic L-shaped molecular structure. tRNAs have two regions of fundamental functional importance: the anti-codon, which is responsible for specific mRNA codon recognition, and the 3' end, to which the tRNAs corresponding amino acid is attached (by aminoacyl-tRNA synthetases). tRNAs cope with the degeneracy of the genetic code in two manners: having more than one tRNA (with a specific anti-codon) for a particular amino acid; and 'wobble' base-pairing, i.e. permitting non-standard base-pairing at the 3rd anti-codon position. Lineage: Bacteria; Bacillati; Actinomycetota; Coriobacteriia. The record is from RNAcentral. RNAcentral also lists the same sequence under 1 other name.